CACGCCGUAAACAAUGUGCGUUAGGUGUGUCGGUAACCACGCGUUACUGAUGCGCCGAAGAGAAAUCGUGAAACGCACCACCUGGGAAGUACGGUCGCAAGGCUGAAACUUAAAGGAAUUGGCGGGGGAGCACCACAACGGGUGGAGCUUGCGGUUUAAUUGGAUUCAACGCCGGAAAUCUUACCGGGACCGACAGCAACAUGAAGGCCAAGCUGAAGACUUUGCCGGAUUAGCUGAGAGGAGGUGCAUGGCGUAGUCGUGU
This 262-nucleotide ribosomal RNA is filed under the name uncultured archaeon. RNAcentral's name for it is "partial 16S ribosomal RNA". It matches the Rfam family "Archaeal small subunit ribosomal RNA", at positions 747 to 1009 of the family's 1478-position model. The record is from RNAcentral.